Molecule: microRNA precursor, 62 nt
Filed under: Petromyzon marinus (sea lamprey)
Lineage: Eukaryota; Metazoa; Chordata; Hyperoartia; Petromyzontiformes; Petromyzontidae
Description: Pma-Mir-19-P1h_pre stem-loop
Source: RNAcentral
AGUUUUGCGUGUUUAGCACCGCGUUUUGUUGGACAUUGCUGUGCAAACCUACGCAAAGCUGA